GACGAACGCUGGCGGCGUGCUUAACACAUGCAAGUCGAACGGAAAGGCCCUGCUUUUGUGGGGUGCUCGAGUGGCGAACGGGUGAGUAACACGUGAGUAACCUGCCCUUGACUUUGGGAUAACUUCAGGAAACUGGGGCUAAUACCGGAUAGGAGCUCCUGCUGCAUGGUGGGGGUUGGAAAGUUUCGGCGGUUGGGGAUGGACUCGCGGCUUAUCAGCUUGUUGGUGGGGUAGUGGCUUACCAAGGCUUUGACGGGUAGCCGGCCUGAGAGGGUGACCGGCCACAUUGGGACUGAGAUACGGCCCAGACUCCUACGGGAGGCAGCAGUGGGGAAUAUUGCACAAUGGGCGGAAGCCUGAUGCAGCAACGCCGCGUGCGGGAUGACGGCCUUCGGGUUGUAAACCGCUUUCGCCUGUGACGAAGCGUGAGUGACGGUAAUGGGUAAAGAAGCACCGGCUAACUACGUGCCAGCAGCCGCGGUGAUACGUAGGGUGCGAGCGUUGUCCGGAUUUAUUGGGCGUAAGGGCUCGUAGGUGGUUGAUCGCGUCGGAAGUGUAAUCUUGGGGCUUAACCCUGAGCGUGCUUUCGAUACGGGUUGACUUGAGGAAGGUAGGGGAGAAUGGAAUUCCUGGUGGAGCGGUGGAAUGCGCAGAUAUCAGGAGGAACACCAGUGGCGAAGGCGGUUCUCUAGGCCUUUCCUGACGCUGAGGAGCGAAAGCGUGGGGAGCGAACAGGCUUAGAUACCCUGGUAGUCCACGCUGUAAACGGUGGGUACUAGGUGUGGGGUCCAUUCCACGGGUUCCGUGCCGUAGCUAACGCUUUAAGUACCCCGCCUGGGGAGUACGGCCGCAAGGCUAAAACUCAAAGGAAUUGACGGGGCCCCGCACAAGCGGCGGAGCAUGCGGAUUAAUUCGAUGCAACGCGUAGAACCUUACCUGGGUUUGACAUGGAUCGGGAGUGCUCAGAGAUGGGUGUGCCUCUUUUGGGGUCGGUUCACAGGUGGUGCAUGGCUGUCGUCAGCUCGUGUCGUGAGAUGUUGGGUUAAGUCCCGCAACGAGCGCAACCCUUGUUCACUGUUGCCAGCACGUUAUGGUGGGGACUCAGUGGAGACCGCCGGGGUCAACUCGGAGGAAGGUGGGGAUGACGUCAAGUCAUCAUGCCCCUUAUGUCCAGGGCUUCACGCAUGCUACAAUGGCUGGUACAGAGAGUGGCGAGCCUGUAAGGGUGAGCGAAUCUCGGAAAGCCGGUCUCAGUUCGGAUUGGGGUCUGCAACUCGACCUCAUGAAGUCGGAGUCGCUAGUAAUCGCAGAUCAGCAACGCUGCGGUGAAUACGUUCCCGGGGCU
RNAcentral lists this ribosomal RNA (1345 nucleotides) under uncultured bacterium. Its description in RNAcentral is "partial 16S ribosomal RNA". It matches the Rfam family "Bacterial small subunit ribosomal RNA", at positions 28 to 1381 of the family's 1533-position model. The record is from RNAcentral.